CAGAAAAUGUUCAAGAAGUCGGUGAAAUUAUAGCCCUAUGUAAGUUGAGAAGAUAUCCAGAGACCCUGUUGCUGGGUGGAGCUGUCUUGUUACUGUACGCAACCCCCAUGUCUGAAAAUAAGUGGAACUAGUCGGUUUCUGAAGCAAAGAAGAUGGCCAGGACUCCUUGCUGAUAGAUGGGAGCCAGAUAGAGUUGGUAGAGCCGAGAAGAUGGCCAGGAUUGCUGAUGGACGGAAGUUGUCUAGUGACAUUGACCGUGUCGGAAAAUGCUGAGAAAGACCAACGUUUUUUAAAAGUGAGCAAACAUUCAUACAUUUACACCAGGGAUG
Engraulis encrasicolus (European anchovy) is the source of this 329-nucleotide long non-coding RNA. RefSeq lists it as uncharacterized. NCBI's taxonomy places the organism in Eukaryota, Metazoa, Chordata, Actinopteri, Clupeiformes, Engraulidae. The record is from RefSeq and is a predicted model, not a curated record. The transcript has 4 exons.